GAAUUCAACUCCUACGGGAGGCAGCAGUAGGGAAUAUUGGACAAUGGGCGAAAGCCUGAUCCAGCAAUGCCGCGUGAGUGAUGAAGGCCUUAGGGUUGUAAAGCUCUUUUACCCGAGAUGAUAAUGACAGUAUCGGUAGAAUAAGCUCCGGCUAACUCCGUGCCAGCAGCCGCGGUAAUACGGAGGGAGCUAGCGUUGUUCGGAAUUACUGGGCGUAAAGCGCACGUAGGCGGCGAUUUAAGUCAGAGGUGAAAGCCCGGGGCUCAACCCCGGAACUGCCUUUGAGACUGGAUUGCUAGAAUCUUGGAGAGGCGAGUGGAAUUCCGAGUGUAGAGGUGAAAUUCGUAGAUAUUCGGAAGAACACCAGUGGCGAAGGCGGCUCGCUGGACAAGUAUUGACGCUGAGGUGCGAAAGCGUGGGGAGCAAACAGGAUUAGAAACCCUUGUAGUCCAGGCGUU
Molecule: ribosomal RNA, 458 nt
Filed under: uncultured bacterium
Lineage: Bacteria
Description: bacterial SSU rRNA
Rfam family: Bacterial small subunit ribosomal RNA
Source: RNAcentral